UAGGCGAUGGACAACAGGUUGAUAUUCCUGUACCACCUCCUCACCAUUUGAGCAAUGGGGGGACGCAGGAGGAUAGGGUAAGCGCGGUAUUGGAUAUCCGCGUCCAAGCAGUUAGGCUGGGAAAUAGGCAAAUCCGUUUCCCAUAAGGCUGAGCUGUGAUGGCGAGCGAAAUAUAGUAGCGAAGUUCCUGAUUCCCCACUGCCAAGAAAAGCCUCUAGCGAGGUGAGAGGUGCCCGUACCGCAAACCGUCACAGGUAGGCGAGGAGAGAAUCCUAAGGUGAUCGAGAGAACUCUCGUUAAGGAACUCGGCAAAAUGACCCCGUAACUUCGGGAGAAGGGGUGCUCUGUUAGGGUGCAAGCCCGAGAGAGCCGCAGUGAAUAGGCCCAGGCGACUGUUUAGCAAAAACACAGGUCUCUGCGAAGCCGUAAGGCGAAGUAUAGGGGCUGACGCCUGCCCGGUGCUGGAAGGUUAAGAGGAGCGCUUAGCGUAAGCGAAGGUGCGAAUUGAAGCCCCAGUAAACGGCGGCCGUAACAAUAACGGUCCUAAGGUAGCGAAAUUCCUUGUCGGGUAAGUUCCGACCCGCACGAAAGGCGCAACGAUCUGGGCACUGUCUCAACGAGAGACUCGGUGAAAUUAUAGUACCUGUGAAGAUGCAGGUUACCCGCGACAGGACGGAAAGACCCCGUGGAGCUUUACUGCAGCCUGAUAUUGAAUGUUGGUACAGCUUGUACAGGAUAGGUAGGAGCCUUGGAAACCGGAGCGCCAGCUUCGGUGGAGGCAUCGGUGGGAUACUACCCUGGCUGUAUUGACCUUCUAACCCGCCGCCCUUAUCGGGCGGGGAGACAGUGUCAGGUGGGCAGUUUGACUGGGGCGGUCGCCUCCUAAAAGGUAACGGAGGCGCCCAAAGGUUCCCUCAGAAUGGUUGGAAAUCAUUCGCAGAGUGUAAAGGCACAAGGGAGCUUGACUGCGAGACCUACAAGUCGAGCAGGGACGAAAGUCGGGCUUAGUGAUCCGGUGGUUCCGCAUGGAAGGGCCAUCGCUCAACGGAUAAAAGCUACCCCGGGGAUAACAGGCUUAUCUCCCCCAAGAGUCCACAUCGACGGGGAGGUUUGGCACCUCGAUGUCGGCUCAUCGCAUCCUGGGGCCGUAGUCGGUCCCAAGGGUUGGGCUGUUCGCCCAUUAAAGCGGUACGCGAGCUGGGUUCAGAACGUCGUGAGACAGUUCGGUCCCUAUCCGUCGCGGGCGCAGGAAAUUUGAGAGGAGCUGUCCUUAGUACGAGAGGACCGGGAUGGACGCACCGCUGGUGUACCAGUUGUUCUGCCAAGGGCAUCGCUGGGUAGCUAUGUGCGGACGGGAUAAGUGCUGAAAGCAUCUAAGCAUGAAGCCCCCCUCAAGAUGAGAUUUCCCAUUCCGCAAGGAAGUAAGAUCCCUGAAAGAUGAUCAGGUUGAUAGGUCUGAGGUGGAAGUGUGGCAACACAUGGAGCUGACAGAUACUAAUCGA
This 1502-nucleotide ribosomal RNA is filed under the name metagenome. RNAcentral describes it as "bacterial LSU rRNA". It matches the Rfam family "Bacterial large subunit ribosomal RNA", at positions 1412 to 2908 of the family's 2925-position model. The record is from RNAcentral.